RNAcentral lists this transfer RNA (73 nucleotides) under Ovis aries (sheep). It matches the Rfam family "tRNA". From Rfam's summary of the family: Transfer RNA (tRNA) molecules are approximately 80 nucleotides in length. Their secondary structure includes four short double-helical elements and three loops (D, anti-codon, and T loops). The record is from Rfam by way of RNAcentral. Lineage: Eukaryota; Metazoa; Chordata; Mammalia; Artiodactyla; Bovidae.
UCCCUGGUGGUCCAGUGGUUAAGACUCUACGUUUGUAAUGUAGGGGGCAUGGGUUCAAUCCCUGGUCAGGGAA